AUGACUGCUGAAGGGUACCAAGCUGUUAUGGACGGCUUACUUGCUAGAAGGGGGUUGGUGUAUUCCCGUGUGCAGGUGAAGAACCAGAUAGUCGUACUCAAAAACACCCACUCCUUUUGGCGAUACAUGCAAGUGCACACAGGGUUGGGGAGGAAACCAGAUGGAACCAUUGAUGCCGACUCUGAGUUCUGGAUAACACACACAAAGAAGAAACCAUACCUAAGGAAGUUGCAGUGGGGUCCUCCAGCAAACGAGGAGUUGCUUGAUCAACUGUUCAGAGGUUGCACCAUGGAUGGAAGCACAACCUUUGUGCCUGGAGAUGAUUAUGGUCAGACUCAAGGGCAAGAUGCAGGGGCAGAAGAGGAGUUUCAAGGAAUACCUACAAGUACAAGCAACAAGAGGAGCCAGAGGGGCAAGAGGUCAUUAAGAACUUCAAGCACUUUGACUAGUCCAUUGAAGAAGAGCAAGAGCCCAAUGGUGAAAAUUGUCAAGGGCAUAGCCAAUACCUACAAGGAGUCUGUCGCAGCCAACACUAAGCAAAUGCAGAAACGUGCAAAUGAGAAGGUUGCAUUUUCUGUGAAGAGGUGUCAGGAGCUGGCAUUUGAGUGCGGUGUUCAGCAAACAGUUGACUCUGUCUAUGCUAUGUCCAAGAUGUUCGAAACGGAGUACCAAAGGGAGUUCUUUUGUGGCCAAUUAACUCCUGAGCUUAGGUUGGGUUACUUCAAGAAAUGGUGCAGAGACAACAAUUUGGAGUAG
This 756-nucleotide ribosomal RNA is filed under the name Triticum aestivum (bread wheat). Its description in RNAcentral is "partial small subunit ribosomal RNA". The record is from RNAcentral. Lineage: Eukaryota; Viridiplantae; Streptophyta; Magnoliopsida; Poales; Poaceae.